CAUAGCUGAGUAACCCCGCUUCGAUAAGUAACCUGAAAUAUUCGAAUCAUCGAUCGCGAUUCCAUUGAUUCGCGUUGUGGACGGUAUCACUUAUAACGAGUCCGAGUCAGUGAAGCACUUACUCGUGAUUUUGGUGUACCAAGAACAGAGAAUUGUAUAUGUAUCACAUAGAAAGACACCGAGUGUUUCGUGGCGUCGUAAAGCCGUGGCUGCUUUAAUACGCCUAACGCCUAGACGCUUUGGUUUCGGAAUAAAAGGCAUCAAUACGCGUCGGGCUUUUCCCUGGGUAAAAGCCUCCGUAGGCGCUGCAGAGACGUCGAAGAGGGAGCACUUCUCGUUCCCGGAAGCCAUCGGUGGGCGUGCAAUGUGUAUAGUCGCGUCUUUUAUACGUAGUAAAGUCGAUUCGAACUAUACAUACGUACGGGGACAAACGUUGGGGGGAAAAAAAAAGCAAAAAUACGGCAGUGAGUCAGCGGUGAAUUAUUCAAAACAUGAAGAAUAAAGAAAACUCGCCUGUGGUAAGGAAAUGUCAACCGAAGCUUCAGGCUCGAGAAGCAGAAGUGGCCAAUUACUCGACUGGACGUGGAAAUACUUGAAAACAGUCGGAUAAAAAUGAAAAAGGGGAGGGAAAAAAGGCAAAGCAAGGAGGAUCGACCGUGGACUAAAAUGAAUUCUGAAAAUUGCGUGCUUUUACGAAAUAAAGGUACAGGGGGGAGCUUGAGAUCAGAAGAUGGUCUGCCAAGAGGCUAUUAUAUGGAUCAGUAGCGGGGAAUUUCGUAGGCAGUGGGUUGAAGCUAAGCUUGGAGUGUUUAAUAUGGUUUCAGUGGGAAGCCCAAACAAAGGAUUCAAUUUAUCGAGUUUUCGAAAAAUCGAGAGGAACUGAGAAUCCAUACCAACGAUCAACAAUCGGCUGUGUUAUGUGCGAAUAAAGUCAAACUGUGGGAAUAAUAAAGAGGAUUACGAUAUCAUGCAAAA
Molecule: long non-coding RNA, 975 nt
Organism: Athalia rosae (coleseed sawfly)
Lineage: Eukaryota; Metazoa; Arthropoda; Insecta; Hymenoptera; Athaliidae
Exons: 2
Source: RefSeq, a predicted model, not a curated record